RNAcentral lists this ribosomal RNA (253 nucleotides) under uncultured bacterium. RNAcentral's name for it is "partial 16S ribosomal RNA". It matches the Rfam family "Bacterial small subunit ribosomal RNA", at positions 524 to 776 of the family's 1533-position model. The record is from RNAcentral.
UACAGAGGUCCCAAGCGUUGUUCGGAUUCACUGGGCGUAAAGGGUGCGUAGGUGGUAGGGUAAGUCUGAUGUGAAAUCUCCGAGCCUAACUCGGAAACUGCAUCGGAUACUAUCUUGCUCGAGGAAUGGAGGGGAGACUGGAAUACUUGGUGUAGCAGUGAAAUGCGUAGAUAUCAAGUGGAACACCAGUGGCGAAGGCGAGUCUCUAGACAUUUCCUGACACUGAGGCACGAAAGCCAGGGGAGCAAACGGG